This is a long non-coding RNA of Perca fluviatilis (European perch), 3155 nucleotides long. RefSeq lists it as uncharacterized. The record is from RefSeq and is a predicted model, not a curated record. The transcript is spliced from 7 exons. Lineage: Eukaryota; Metazoa; Chordata; Actinopteri; Perciformes; Percidae.
CGCCGCUUCCCGCGCCAUUCAGCGUGCACGCGCAAGACAACCAGGCACGUACCCGCUUGGAGACUGUCUGGAGUCUGUCUGAAAUUGAUAAAAUUGGAGAUGGAGUUUUACAUCUGUUUGCACAUUUACAAGGAAGCCGCCUGUUGGAAAUGGGAAUGUUUGCUCUCCUCCUCAAACGCCUUACUCCCACGACUCACCACGCUUCAGCCAACAUAUUUUUUAGAUAAACGCUGUGAAAGUUUUUUCUUCUGCAGUCAACCAGCAGACACCUCUUUAUGCACAGGGAAUCAUCCGACAGCCCUAGAGUUCAAGAGGAGUGCACCAUCCAGAAGGCAGUCUCCAUCAGCUCAGAAAGGGAUCCAUGGUUUCUUGCAGCCUGUCAUGCCUUCGUGACUUUAACGCUGGAGUGUGUCGGCCCAAAUGGUUGGGCUGCCACGUCGUAACAACUCUAUUGCAAGGGAUUCCACAUCCAAACUGCAGUGUGGAGAAUGUUUGGUGUAGAGAGCUGGUGGUGGACUAGGAGGAAGAUGUCAUGCUAGGGAUGGGUUUUGGUGAUGAUGUUGCUGCUGUUGAUGCAGUGUCGAGCUCUCACUUUGUGCCUCUGUCAGUUAUGAUGCGUAACCACAAAGUGAGUGACAGGCCAGUCCCCGGGGAGAGAAGGGGGCCUGAGGAUGCCACCGGGCUGCAGGGAUGGCUCAGCCAGUUCACCGCUGGCGUUUUAACCCGGGCUGCGCGUAAAAGAAAGGGGGCAACGAGGAGGACCAGAGGAGCAGCAAGACUGUGAGGAGCCUUCGAGCAAUUCAAUUAGAAAGAUUGUCUUACACGUCACCAGGGCUCAGUACUAUGGAGUACUACAAAAGGUGACGCGCAGAAGGAGGAUUUGUGAAUGGACGCCAUGAUGUGUGCCAGCUCACAGAUCAGAGGGUGGUGGGACCUCUACAGAUGCACCCUGAGCCCCCUCCACACCAGCACCCCCCCCUCUCUCCCUCCCUCCCCCGGUCACCAUCCCUCCCUCCAGAUGAAUGGGGGUCUCUAAGACAUCAGUUCUGUCACCAUGCAGGGGUCGGACCAAAUCCUCCAGCUUCCUGUGCCUUUCAAAACCUGAAUGCAAGCCUCUCCUAUUUGAUGAUCCUGGAUGUCCUUUUGUGGACAUGGAAGCUCGAUGCCCCCUGUUUUUCAUCCCGGGUCAGCCAAGAGCAUGGCAGCCGAAUUAGAGAAGAUUAGAAACGGGCUUAAUUGCGUAUAGUCUACACUGAAAAAAAGUCAAUCAGUUUAGAAAGAAAAUUAGUCUAAAAUACAUUUUAGGAUUUGGAGAGAGCGGUCCACCGGUUCCCAAUGCCCCAUUGUUUUCCAGAACGUGUAUGUGUGUUGUUGAAUAUGGGAGAAAUGGGCGAAUCACAGAAAUGUGGAAAUAAAUAGAUUUGGAUUAAAAACAAAUGCUAUUGUUUGAUCGAGUGGGUAAAUUUUGGCCACGUGUCAAGAUAUAGCUAUUUUUGCAUUGUAACAUGAACUUCUUCCUGCUUACUAUUGUAUUGUUUCAGUUUACUGGCCAAUGUUGCUGAAAUACUGUAGCCUAUAAAGCAUAUUGGGUUUAACUUUGAAACUACUUCUUAUUUUAGAAGCCAUGACGUAGAUAUACAAUUUAAGUUUCGCUUUGCAUUUUUAGGGAAAACGUAGUGAGAUGGUGCUUCUAAAAGUCUAAUUAACUAAUUUUAGUUUCUGCUGCUCAGUCGCCUUCCAGAUAUCACUUACUCCACUAUUUAUUCAUAAUACAUCACCGCAUGUAGAUGAUGUCUAUAUAAUUUUUUUUCCCGUGGUGUGUGUUUACAUGGAAAUCCUCUGGAGUCGCCACGCAGCGGACUUUGGGGCUGCUGAAUCUUCUGGUUUCAGCCCUUUUAUAGGUUUUAAUAACUCUUAAUCCGUCUGAUCGGUCUGCCGUAGAUAAGUCUCAUUUGAAUUGGGAUUGUUCUUAAGGAGCGGCACGUAUUUCUCUACAGAAGUCUCAAACAGAGCUUAGCACAAACAACUGCACCACCCUGAGCGCAAUUAAGGCCUCAGCUAAAUUGGAUGAAGGCUAAUUGAAUGCAGCUGAGCUCCCAUCAGCAAACUCUUGAACGCUUCACUAAUAUGAGAAAAGGUUCGGUGGGUAGUCACUGAUCCCCCCCCCCACACACACACACACACGUUUCUAAAGUAGUAAAUAUGUUAAAAUUGCAAAAAAGUGAAACAAAGCAGCAUGUCUGAAUUUACAUCCAGGUGUAUGUGUAUAAAUAUACAUACAUACAUACAAACAUACACACACACACACGCACACACACACACAACAUUUUUUUGUCAUAAGAUACCAAAUUAAGUGUAAAAACUUCCGCUAUGGUUAAUUGAGUUGUUUGAUGUAGAGUAGGACACCUGUAAGUUAGACCAAUAUAAAACUGGUAAGUUUAGUACAUUUAAUAUUGAUUUCUGGUGUUGCCCAAGUGGAAGAUAUAGUUGUAACAAAAGUUAGUGAUUACUGUAUAAAUCCUAAAUAGGCUUAUACAGCCCAAGUUGGUCUCCGCGAGGUUAACAUAGCCUAAAACUAGAUUAAGAACACCAGGAGUCAGUUUGUUCAAUGUUAUUAUUCAUACAGUAUUAUGAAUUGCCAUAUACAGAAGCUUAAAUCGAACUUAAGGGAGAGUCCAGGCUAAAAUAACACCCUCUAGCUCUGACUACAAAAUAAAACCAAUAAUACAACAUAACCAAAAAGAAAUAAAUGUUCCAAUAGUAAACCUUAUACAAAAAAACAACAAAAAAAAACAGGGAAAAGACAAGUGACAAGUGUGAGAGAAUGACAUGUAAUUCCUUUUUGGAAAUUCAAGCCAAAUGUGAAUUGCUUUUGAAUUAAAAAAAAAAAAAAAAAAACAAUUAGGGAGAAGACAAACUACUGUUUCACGCUUUGUUACUUUAUGAUCCAACUAUAAAGGAAAUAAAGUGUUAAAAAAGAAAAGAAAAAUGAGCUCAGGGAAGAAGAUGCUCACAAAAACGAUGAAGAUGGUUCAGAUACGGCCAUUUGUUGGGCCCAUAUUACGUUUCCUCUCUCUGACCACCAUAACUUUAAAACUAGUAUUUCACUAGGCUCUUCCUUCCAUGUGAAAAUUAACGUCUACAAGUCAUUAAUA